AUGGUAGACAACAUGAUUACUGAAAGAACAAAACAAAAAAUACAGACUGGAAUUUGCUAAAAUGUAUGUUGACAAGCCACAGUUUCUGGGAGAAUGUCCUUUGGACUGACAAAACAAAACUAGAGCUUUUCGGCAAGUCACACCAGUUGUAUGUUCAAAGACAGAAAAAUGAAGUUUUCAAAGAAAAGAGCACCAUACCUACUGUGAAACAUGUUUUGGGGCUGCUUUGCUGUGUUUGGCACAGGGGGCCUUGAAUCUGUGUAGGGCACAAUGAAGGCUCAAGACUAUCAAGGCUUCCUGGAGAGAAACAUACUGCCCAGUGUCAGAAAGCUCUCCCUCAGUCACAGGUCAUGGGUCCUCCAACAGGAUAAUGACCCAAAACACACAGCUCAAGAAUGGUUGGGGAAAAACAUUGGACUAUUCUUAAAUGGCCCUCUAUGAGCCCUGAUCUUAUUCCUAUUGAACAUCUGUGGAAAGAUCUGAAAAAUGCAGUGUGCAGAAGGCACCCUUCAAACCUCAGCAGUUUGCUCAGGAAGAGUGGGCCAAAAUACCUGUUACCCGAUUUAGAAGUCUCCUUGUAAACUACCGUGAUCACUUAUUGGCAGAACAUAAUGGCAUCAAAAAUAAUGUCUGAUUUGUGUUAAAGAUGGAAUUAACAGUGAUUGAUGCCAUUAAUGUUUGUCAGUUUCAAAUUAUUUCAGAGAUAGUUGUAGGUUCUUCUUUUUCACGGAAGGGUAUCACCAAUUUUGUCCACGUCUGUACAUGUUAAAAUUUAGCUGUAAUAUGGCUGUGUAUGUGUGUUCAAGAUCAAUGUUCUUAUAUUUCAUCAUUUCUCUUCCAGGCUGUGUAAGUGUAAUCUGACAGAGGAAAGCUGUAGAGUUCUGUCCUCAGUUCUCAGCUCAAACUCCUCCAGUCUGAGAGAACUGAACCUGAGUAUCAAUAAACUGCAGAAUUUAGGAGUGAAGCUGCUCUCUGCUGGACUGAAGAAUCCACACUGUACACUGGAGAUAUUGAGGAUGUGGUGCUGCAGUAUUACAGAUGAAGGUUGUGCUGCUCUGGCUUCAGCUCUGAGGUCAAACUCCUCAUCACACCUGAGAGAACUGGAUCUGAACUGUAAUAAUCCAGGAGAAUCAGGAGUGAAGCUGCUCUCUGAUCUACUGAAGGAUCCACACUGUAAACUGGAGACACUACACAUUACAAAUUAUAAAUUCACAAGGACUGGCGUAUGACAGGAGUCUCACCUCAAACCUCUUUUCCAGGAUAAAGCAGUUUUGGUGAAGCGUUAGAACCCGUCCCACAUUUCCAGCAGUUUGGGAGCUGAAUCAUUCAUAUUCAGAUGUAGAAGUUCCAUAACAAUAACCGUGACUGAUCACAUACUUUUAUCCACUCAGCUACAAGUUACUUCAGGCUUUAAUAAUAUAUUUUACAAUCCAAAGUCAAAUCCUUCAGCAUCUGCACACAACACAGAGAUAUCAUCACAUCAUCACACUGAUUACACAAAUACACAUCCAUGUGUUGUAGCUGUUUAUAGCUUAUUUUUAGCUCCUUACAGUCAAAAAAUUAGGACACCCCAUUAAAUAUUCAGUUCUUUAUUAAGAAAUGUCAACAUCUCAAUUUCUGAUCUUGUUUUAAUUUGUAUCUGUAGAUGAAGGUGAUGUAAUUGCAUGUAAACAACAAAAAAUCACUUUGUUUUCAUUUAUUAAACAAAAGACAUCAACAAAAAUGAGUAUUUAAACUGAGAAAACGUUAGGACACCUGGAGGUAAUUUUAGCCAUUUUAAGUACAAAUAAAUGUGGGGGUGUCCUUACCUUUUCCAAGAAAUUGGAUUUUUUUUUUAAUUACAUUUUACUGAUCAUUUUAAAAAGACUUUUCUUUGGUUUUAUUUGUUUAGUUAUAUUACUUGAAUCUCCCAAUAUUGUUAAAAUGAAGAUCAAAUGUCCAUAUGUUUAACUAUGUUAAAAAAAAAACACAGGCUUUCAUGGUGUGUCCUAAUUUUUUCACAUGAUUGUAUAUCUGUCAGGUUAAUCAGAGUGUGUUUCUGCUCAACAUGGCUUCAUUCAGUGACGCAUUUUUUUCUCCACAGAUGAUUGAUGCAAAGUUGUAAUAUUGAUUUAAUCCUUUUUUACUCAAAGAUUGUUCCUUGUUUGCUAACAUGUUUAAUGGUAAUCAUGGUAGUUUGACUGUUUAAGAUAUUUAGAUUUUUUAAACUAAAAAAUCUCUGAAACUCUUUAACUACAUGCACUGUAUGUAUUCGUGUCAUUUAAUACAGUUUUGUAGAUAUGUGGUGUACAUGUCAUUUACACUAUGUGUACAAAAUAAACAGUGACUGUGACUGAAACACAACAGUUCAGGUGUUUGAGGACUGUACUGUAAUUACACUUAGCAUGGACCACUACCAGGACUAACACGUGUUCCACCACACUGAGAAACUUCAAUGUUGUGUCACGACUCGUGAACGCCGAGCUGGACUUUCUGACUGUUCAUGAGGAAUCUUCUUGUAACCAUGGUGACAGUGACAGUCUCACUGUCAGGAGUGUAGGGAGUAGGAAUUAGCGCGAGUACAGCCUGGGGACCAUGUAUGGAAAUAAAUUUGUGCCAAAACUAAACAUCCAAAUCUAGCAUUUCACAAACACAAUCUGCUUUGCAAAGGAAAACUCAAACAAACAGAAAGUGAUUUGUAAAUACAAAGGGCAAAUAUAAAAAAAAUAUAAGCCUACAUCAUAUUUCACAAAUAAACACAAUCCAUUCUACAAAUCUUUGAACAAAUACAAAAUCCAAUGUAUACAAAUGCAGCUGAGCAACUUCCUCUUCCAGAACAGCAGUUGGUGCUAUUUGUCAGUGUACACUAGUCUCCCUGGAGAAGCUUUACAACACACAUGACAUUACGCCCAGGGAUACAAUUUCAAGUUAAUAGAUAUUCAGGUUGAACUUUCUUGAUUUCUCUACUCUAAAUAAAAGUUUAAAUGAAUUGGUUUAGACACUUCAUUCUACACCCAAAUUCUCUACGGAAUUUUAUACUCAAUUUUAUUUUCUCAAAACUGGUUGGUCUCAGGUUUCUCUUGAUUUCUACUUAGAAAAUUAACAAAAUUCCUCUGAACUUAUCUUGCUUUCACAAACAAAUGUUGCUGGCCUCUAAUUUACAGACAUAACUCACUCCCCCUCCCAUAGGUAUUUAAUUUGGAACAAUUACAAUAUACUUUUUAAAAAGAUAUCCUUAUUUUUUGAGAGAUGGUUUUUAGCAGGCAUAAUACAGUCAGUUAUUAAAUCAAGAAGGAAAGUUGCUCACUUAUUCUGAGUUUCUAGCUGUUUAGCACUUGUGGGGUGCCAUCAGUGACACCUGCUGGGUCCUGCCAGGCGGCCCCCUGUCCAGGGUCACUGAAUGUGACUGCAGCGAGAGGUAAUAAUCAGACUGUUCAUCCAUCUUAGUUCAGACUCUGCUUAUGCUAGUU
Molecule: long non-coding RNA, 3449 nt
Organism: Pangasianodon hypophthalmus (striped catfish)
Lineage: Eukaryota; Metazoa; Chordata; Actinopteri; Siluriformes; Pangasiidae
Exons: 3
Source: RefSeq, a predicted model, not a curated record